This 253-nucleotide ribosomal RNA is filed under the name uncultured bacterium. RNAcentral describes it as "partial 16S ribosomal RNA". It matches the Rfam family "Bacterial small subunit ribosomal RNA", at positions 524 to 776 of the family's 1533-position model. RNAcentral also lists the same sequence under 1 other name. The record is from RNAcentral.
UACGGAGGAUCCAAGCGUUAUCCGGAAUCAUUGGGUUUAAAGGGUCCGUAGGCGGUCAGAUAAGUCAGUGGUGAAAGCCCAUCGCUCAACGGUGGAACGGCCAUUGAUACUGUCUGACUUGAAUUAUUAGGAAGUAACUAGAAUAUGUAGUGUAGCGGUGAAAUGCUUAGAGAUUACAUGGAAUACCAAUUGCGAAGGCAGGUUACUACUAAUGGAUUGACGCUGAUGGACGAAAGCGUGGGUAGCGAACAGG